AACGCGAAGAACCUUACCAAGUCUUGACAUCCUUUUGACCGGUCGGUAAUGCGACCUUCUCUUCGGAGCAAAAGUGACAGGUGGUGCAUGGUUGUCGUCAGCUCGUGUCGUGAGAUGUUGGGUUAAGUCCCGCAACGAGCGCAACCCUUAUCUUUAGUAGCCAGCAUUUUAAGAUGGGCACUCUAGAGAGACUGCCAGGGAUAACCUGGAGGAAGGUGGGGAUGACGUCAAAUCAUCAUGCCCCUUAUGACUUGGGCUACACACGUGCUACAAUGGCGUAAACAAAGAGAAGCAAGACUGUGAAGUGGAGCAAAUCUCAAAAAUAACGUCUCAGUUCGGAUUGUAGUCUGCAACUCGACUACAUGAAGCUGGAAUCGCUAGUAAUCGCGAAUCAGAAUGUCGCGGUGAAUACGUUCCCGGGUCUUGUACACACCG
Molecule: ribosomal RNA, 435 nt
Filed under: uncultured bacterium
Lineage: Bacteria
Description: bacterial SSU rRNA
Rfam family: Bacterial small subunit ribosomal RNA
Source: RNAcentral